Molecule: ribosomal RNA, 492 nt
Filed under: uncultured bacterium
Lineage: Bacteria
Description: partial 16S ribosomal RNA
Rfam family: Bacterial small subunit ribosomal RNA
Source: RNAcentral
GAUGAACGCUAGCUACAGGCUUAACACAUGCAAGUCGAGGGGAAACGACAUCGAAGGCUUGCUUUUGAUGGGCGUCGACCGGCGCACGGGUGAGUAACGCGUAUCCAACCUGCCCAUCACUUGGGAAUAACCUUGCGAAAGUAAGACUAAUACCCAAUGAUAUCCCACGAAGGCAUCGGAAUGGGAUUAAAGAUUUAUCGGUGAUGGAUGGGGAUGCGUCUGAUUAGCUUGUUGGCGGGGUAACGGCCCACCAAGGCAACGAUCAGUAGGGGUUCUGAGAGGAAGGUCCCCCAAAUUGGAACUGAGACACGGUCCAAACUCCUACGGGAGGCAGCAGUGAGGAAUAUUGGUCAAUGGGCGAGAGCCUGAACCAGCCAAGUAGCGUGCAGGAAGACGGCCCUAUGGGUUGUAAACUGCUUUUAUAAGGGAAUAAAGUGGGUCACGUGUGACUUUUUGCAUGUACCUUAUGAAUAAGGACCGGCUAAUUCCGUG